Salvelinus namaycush (lake trout) is the source of this 375-nucleotide long non-coding RNA. RefSeq lists it as uncharacterized. The record is from RefSeq and is a predicted model, not a curated record. NCBI's taxonomy places the organism in Eukaryota, Metazoa, Chordata, Actinopteri, Salmoniformes, Salmonidae. The transcript has 3 exons.
CUGAAAAGUGAUAUAUAGCGUUUCGGAAUGAAACUCAUCUUAUGUUUCCCCAUCUGAGCUCAGAGUAGAUGAGAGAUGUAAUGUUUGUCUCUGUUGUGUUGAAGUCCAAUCAAGCAGGAGAGACCAGCCUCCCCUGUACCCAGCUGUGUGUCCAUGAAGAGUGACCAGUCUAUGGGUCAUCCUAUAACCUUUAGAGAGGGAGACUUUUCUACUGAACAAAGCCCAAUCAAGCAGGAGAGACCAGCCUCCCCUGUUCCCAGCUGUGUGUCCAUGAAGAGUGAUUGGUCUAUGGAUCCUCCUAGAAACUUUAGAGAGAGAGACUUUUCUACUGAACAAAGAAACCAACAGGAGAGAUCAGAGUCAGAGAUUCUCAGU